AGUGAACGCUGGCGGUAGGCCUAACACAUGCAAGUCGAACGGCAGCACAGUAAGAGCUUGCUCUUACGGGUGGCGAGUGGCGGACGGGUGAGGUAUACAUCGGAAUCUACUUUUUCGUGGGGGAUAACGUAGGGAAACUUACGCUAAUACCGCAUACGACCUACGGGUGAAAGCAGGGGAUCUUCGGACCUUGCGCGAUUGAAUGAGCCGAUGUCGGAUUAGCUAGUUGGCGGGGUAAAGGCCCACCAAGGCGACGAUCCGUAGCUGGUCUGAGAGGAUGGUCACCCACACUGGAACUGAGACACGGUCCAGACUCCUACGGGAGGCCGCAGUGGGGAAUAUUGGACAAUGGGCGCAAGCCUGAUCCAACCAUACCGCGUGGGUGGAGAAGGCCUUCGGGUUGUAAAGCCGUUUUGUUGGGAAAGAAAAGCAGCAGGUUAAUACCCCGCUGUUCUGACGGUACCCAAAGAAUAAGCACCGGCUAACUUCGUG
Molecule: ribosomal RNA, 492 nt
Filed under: uncultured bacterium
Lineage: Bacteria
Description: partial 16S ribosomal RNA
Rfam family: Bacterial small subunit ribosomal RNA
Source: RNAcentral